Molecule: ribosomal RNA, 281 nt
Filed under: uncultured Glomus
Lineage: Eukaryota; Fungi; Glomeromycota; Glomeromycetes; Glomerales; Glomeraceae
Description: partial 18S small subunit ribosomal RNA
Rfam family: Eukaryotic small subunit ribosomal RNA
Source: RNAcentral
CCAAUAGCGUAUAUUAAAGUUGUUGCAGUUAAAAAGCUCGUAGUUGAAUUUCGGGGUUAGUAGGUUGGUCAUGCCUCUGGUAUGUACUGGUCUCACUGAUUCCUCCUUCCUUAUGAACCGUAAUGCCAUUAAUUUGGUGUUGCGGGGAAUUUGGACUGUUACUUUGAAAAAAUUAGAGUGUUUAAAGCAAGCUAACGCUUGAAUACAUUAGCAUGGAAUAAUGAAAUAGGACGUUCGAUCUUAUUUUGUUGGUUUCUAGGAUUGACGUAAUGAUUAAUAGG